Molecule: long non-coding RNA, 3868 nt
Filed under: Hordeum vulgare
Lineage: Eukaryota; Viridiplantae; Streptophyta; Magnoliopsida; Poales; Poaceae
Description: long non-coding RNA (HVUL_LNC010725)
Source: RNAcentral
AAGCCGUUCCUCUCCUUCUCCUUUCUCUAGCUCUCCUCACCCGUGAGGCUUCGCUCGGUUACGCUUUCCCCUGUUGGGAUCGAAGCCGGAACCCGGUCAAACCCCGGGGUUUUGCCCCGACCGGGAUUAAAUCCUUGUGAACCAGUUAACUGUCUUCGGUUAAAUUCGACCGGGGUUACAUCCCGUCCAAAAUCGUUGUGUUUCAGCGGGGAAUCAACCCCCACCUCUCCACCCGUAGAAUCAACCCCCGCCUCUCCUCCCAAAAAAAGAAGGCGCCUCCUCCUCUCGCGAACCCUAGGCGACAACGACGACGGCGAAGGUGCCGGCCGCGGGGACAGAGGGCACAACAUCGGCGGGAACAAAGAAGCGCCAGCCUUCCACGAGCGUCCUUCCUUCGUCCUCCACGAAUCUAUCAGAGGUACGUACUCCGCCUCGCCUGCGUUUCUAGGCCAGAUCCGUGCCUAAAUCGACCAGAGCUGCCGCCGGCUGCGUUUCUCUGCCAGAUCCGUGCAGAGGAGUGCUCCCCUUUGAUCGAGAAGGGGAGAGGAUGAGAACAGAAGGAGGGGAGGAUACGGGCAUAUGGCUGAAGCGAGGAGGUGAGGGCAGGAGCUCGACCUGGGAGGAGCUGGACUUGCAAGGCCAAGGCCCACACGGAGGUAAAAAUGUCACCUUGAACAUUACACAAAUUUUCUGAAUGUAGCAGGUAAAAACAGAAAUCUGAAUUUAGCAGGCACUUGCCCUGUGCAAGCACCUGCAUAGUCUUCAGCAAACUGUGGUACAGCUUGCUUGUGAGGUCAUAUGAAUUUCUCCACAAAUACCACCACUGCAGCAGCAACGCUGCCGUCCAGACGCCGGCGGCGAUGCCUCACGUCGCACGCGUGCAUUACUCCCUCCUUUCUGGUUUAUAGGGCUCAUCUCAAAAUUUUCAGAUUUCCAUUAUAUUAGGCUCAUUUUGAGUCUAAUUGAGUUAAAGUGAUUUGAGUCCCACGCCAUAUUUAAUACAUAGAGUUUAGAAAAAGGAGAUGAGUGGCUAUGCAUACAUCGUUUUCUACAUCCACUAUCCAAGUCCAAUGAGAAGGAGGAUGCUACAUUUAUUGUCUUGGAAAUUGAAUAUGUGAGAAAUAUUUAAUUGGGUAGUUAAAACUAGUGUAAUCCACUCAUAAUUCACCUUGGUUGAUGAGAUUUCAGAUUUAAGUCCUAUAAACCGGAAAGGAGGGAGUAGCUAGCUUAGGCCCUGUUUGGAACCAUCCAGAUUAUAUAAUCUGGUUUUUAUAAUCUAUUGUAUUUUCAAACAGGACAGUUUAUAUUGUAGAUUUUAUAAACUAGAUGACCAGAUUAUUAUAAUCUCAUAAUCUCCUCUACCCCAGCUAAAAUGAGAUUAUGGAUUACAAAUGACGUGUUAUCCUUGUAAACUUCAAGAGAAUUACGCAGUGCCACCGCCACUUUCCUAUUUUUCCUUAUAAACUGAGGGCAAACAUGUCAUUGUACAAUUUAAAAGCUGGUUUACAGUUUAUAUAAUCUGGCAUCCGAACAUGCCCACCUGGAUUAUUUUUAUAAACCAGAUUAUAUAAUCUAUGUUCAUAAUCCAGAUUAUUAUAAUCUAUUAUGGUUCCAAACAGGGCCUUAGUAGUUUUGCUCUUGUUUAAUUAAUCUAGCGUUUGAGACUUGAUAGGUAUGUAGGUGUCUCUUUCUUUUGGGCACCCCAAAACUGGCAUGCCCAAUCUUCCACUAAUAGCAGUAGUAUUAGUAUCAUUCAGAAUAUCCACGUGCAUAUGUAGAGAUCCUUUUUUGUUUGUUGCUGAGUUUUGUUAUGUAAAUGGCAACGGCUUGCCGCACGCCCUCGUCCGGUGCACCGUGAAUAGCUUGGCACCUAAUUAGUUAUGUAACCAUAAUAUAUAUAUUUUAAUCUUGUCGCUUAAACAAAUAUUUCAAGCAGGGCAGACUGAUUUUAUGUACUCCUAUGUAUUACCAAAAAAAGUUGUAUGUACCAAUGUACUCCUAUGUAUUACUAUUAGUUACUUUUGCAUGUACAUUUGUUUGGACACCUUGCACUAUUGAUAACUAGUGGCCUUUUUCUUCUGUAGUCAUAAAAUGGAUUCAUAUAUGAGGGAUUGCAUUAGGAAGAGGGAGGAGGAGGAUGACGAAAUGAUGCUAUUUGUUUUGCCUGCACUACAUUUGAUGGAGACCGGUGGAGUUUGGAGACAGGUGGAGUUGCUAGUAGGGAGCCGAGGAUUCGGCGUCAUACGUCGUUGCUAACAGGCGAGAUGUUUGUUAAUGAGUUACUCGAAGGACACAUCAAAAACUGCAUGGUAGCAUUUAGGAUGGAACCUCAUAUUUUCAGAUCUUUGGCUGGUUAUCUUCAACGCAAGAAUUUGGUGUCUGACACUAGAAUUAAAGUCGAAGAGAAACUAGCAUCGUUUCUAUGGAUGUUAUCCCACAAUUCUUCCUUCGAAGAUCUUCAAGUUCGUUUUGGUCAUAGCGGGGAUACUUUCCAUGGGCACAUGAAGAAUUUCUUCAACAUCAUCCCUACUCUAUCUAAGCAUUUCUUGAAGCCUCCAAAUCAUGAUCAAGUACAUCCAAAGAUUCAAUCGAGCACGAGAUUCUUUCCUUAUUUUCAGGUUUUUGCUUCGUCAACUUCCAUCCACAUCGUCCAUCCACAUCGAGAUAUUACUCUUUAUGUUUUAGAUGCUAACUUGUACGAUUUUGUUAUAGAACUGCAUUAGGGCCAUUGAUGGGACACAUAUUCCCAUAACAAUUUCAGCAGAAAAGGCCGCAUCGUUCAGAAAUAGGAAAGGGAGCCUGAGCCAUAAUGUUAUGGUCAUGUGUGACUUCGACUUAAACUUCACCUUCAUUUCUUGUGGUUGGGAGGGAUCCGCGACUGAUGCUACAGUUGUUCGCUCAUCACUUAACAAUGGGUUUCAAGUACCUCCGGGCAAGUUUUAUCUGGUUGAUGGCGGUUAUUCCAACACUCCUUACUUCUUGGCACUGUACCGUGGUGUUCGGUACCAUCUCAAGGAGUUUGCACGCGGUCGCCGUCGACCCCAAAAUCAUAGGGAGCUCUUUAAUCAUCGGCAUGCCGUGUUACGAAAUCAUAUCGAACUGUCAUUGGGAGUCUUGAAGAAGCGGUUCCCAAUUCUGAAAGUGGGUACACAUCAUCGAAUAGUGAAUCAAGUCAAGCUUACAGCAGCAGCGGCAAUCUUACAUAACAUCAUUCGAUCUCGCCAAGGAGAUGAGCGUUGGUUAGAUAAUCAACCAAACAACAUAUCUCCCAUGAAUUUUGUGGAUCUUCUUUCAACUUCCAGUUUACUUUCUUUCAUCAAGGAGAAACAGUUGGUUACCCUUACAUUCCUUCAAUUCUAGUUUACUUUCUUUCAUCUCACUCGCUGUAGACCAAUGGUUAUUUCUUUUAUGUGAGAAGCCCAUGACAUGCUUCUUAGUUCUUACCAUGUUUACUUGUGUCAAUUUCUAAAUUGUUCAUUGCAUUUAUACUUUUGAUGUACUGCUAGCGAUAUUUGGUGCUGUAUUUAUGCAGGAAUGAAGAGUUCAUGUGUAGUGGCCAUGUUUGUGGAGGAAUUCAUGACCAACAUCACCAGCACUGAAUGGACACUUUCCAUCUGGCCUAUCAAAUGUUUGGAUAGGAACCACUGUUGGACGCCGAUAGGACAGUCAUUGAGGCGAUGUGCUCUAACUUGACCCCAUGGUGUCGUGUCUGAUAUGUGAUCUGAUGACACCAUGAGCGAUUGCAAGAGGCAUGACUUGUUUGUUGUCGUUGUCGUGGCUGCUAGCAAAAGCACACAAUUAAAUAAUUCAGCAUUGACUCUUUCGUUGAUGAGUAGAAUCUGGUGUGAUUGCUAAACCGUAAAUCCAG